RNAcentral lists this unclassified non-coding RNA (138 nucleotides) under soil metagenome. RNAcentral's name for it is "partial internal transcribed spacer 1". The record is from RNAcentral.
CUGAGUACUACACUCUCUACCCUUUGCGAACUAUUAUACCUGUUGCUUCGGCGGCGCCCGCAAGGGUGCCCGCCGGUCUCAUCAGAAUCUCUGUUUUCGAACCCGACGAUACUUCUGAGUGUUCUUAGCGAACUGUCG